RNAcentral lists this ribosomal RNA (121 nucleotides) under Cebus imitator (Panamanian white-faced capuchin). The record is from RNAcentral. Lineage: Eukaryota; Metazoa; Chordata; Mammalia; Primates; Cebidae.
AUCUAUGGCUAUACACCCUGAACAUAUCCAACCUUGUCUGAUCUCAGAAGCCAAGCAGGGUUGGAUCUGGUUAGUUCUUGGAUGGGAGACUGAGAUUAUGGAAGAGGAGCAGUUACUGAUA